RNAcentral lists this long non-coding RNA (278 nucleotides) under Polistes fuscatus (common paper wasp). Its description in RNAcentral is "uncharacterized LOC122526771". Lineage: Eukaryota; Metazoa; Arthropoda; Insecta; Hymenoptera; Vespidae. The record is from RNAcentral.
GGAAGGAGUCUUGCCUCCCUGCCGUCCGCCCGCAGUAAGCGCUACGCGAUAUCACUGGUCGGUCAUGUGUGCGUCACUAUUAUCACGUUCACACAACAUUGGUACCGUUCGGAGGAGUCGAGUGAUCGUCGUCGUCGUCUUCUCCAACUGCAUCUCCAUCUCCGUCUACGUUUUCGUCGUCUUCUUCGUCAUUAUUGCUACUACGGGAAAGUAACUGGACUUUUAUUCUCGCCUCAUGGUAACGGCCUCGUUUCUAUACGGUGAUAUCUUCUAUUCGA